AUUGAACGCUGGCGGCAUGCUUUACACAUGCAAGUCGAACGGCAGCGCGGGCUUCGGCCUGGCGGCGAGUGGCGAACGGGUGAGUAAUACAUCGGAACGUGCCCAGUAGUGGGGGAUAGCUCGGCGAAAGCCGGAUUAAUACCGCAUACGACCUGAGGGUGAAAGCGGGGGAUCUUCGGACCUCGCGCUAUUGGAGCGGCCGAUGGCAGAUUAGCUAGUUGGUGGGGUAAAGGCCUACCAAGGCGACGAUCUGUAGCUGGUCUGAGAGGACGACCAGCCACACUGGGACUGAGACACGGCCCAGACUCCUACGGGAGGCAGCAGUGGGGAAUUUUGGACAAUGGGCGAAAGCCUGAUCCAGCAAUGCCGCGUGUGUGAUGAAGGCCUUCGGGUUGUAAAGCAUUUUUGGCGGGAACGAAAAGGACUGUGCCAAUACCACGGUUCGAUGACGGUACCCGCAGAAUAAGCACCGGCUAACUACGUG
This 484-nucleotide ribosomal RNA is filed under the name uncultured bacterium. Its description in RNAcentral is "partial 16S ribosomal RNA". It matches the Rfam family "Bacterial small subunit ribosomal RNA", at positions 29 to 507 of the family's 1533-position model. The record is from RNAcentral.